RNAcentral lists this ribosomal RNA (227 nucleotides) under uncultured bacterium. Its description in RNAcentral is "partial 16S ribosomal RNA". It matches the Rfam family "Bacterial small subunit ribosomal RNA", at positions 1265 to 1500 of the family's 1533-position model. The record is from RNAcentral.
AUGUGAAUCUCGAAAGCCUGUCUCAGUUCGGAUUGGAGGCUGAAACCCGCCUCCAUGAAGUUGGAUUCGCUAGUAAUCGCGCAUCAGCCAUGGCGCGGUGAAUACGUUCCCGGGCCUUGUACACACCGCCCGUCAAGCCAUGGGAGCCGGGGGUGCCUGAAGUUCGUGACCGCAAGGAGCGACCUAGGGCAAAACCGGUGACUGGGGCUAAGUCGUAACAAGGUACC